This 253-nucleotide ribosomal RNA is filed under the name uncultured bacterium. Its description in RNAcentral is "partial 16S ribosomal RNA". It matches the Rfam family "Bacterial small subunit ribosomal RNA", at positions 524 to 776 of the family's 1533-position model. The record is from RNAcentral.
GACGAACCGUGCGAACGUUGUUCGGAAUCACUGGGCUUAAAGGGCGCGUAGGCGGGCCGUCAAGUCAGGGGUGAAAGCCUCCAGCUCAACUGGAGAAGUGCCUUUGAUACUGGCGGCCUCGAGGGAGAUAGGGGCGUGCGGAACUUCCGGUGGAGCGGUGAAAUGCGUAGAUAUCGGAAGGAACACCGGUGGCGAAAGCGGCGCGCUGGAUCUCUUCUGACGCUGAGGCGCGAAAGCCAGGGGAGCGAACGGG